UACGGGGGGGGUAAGCGUUGUUCGGAAUUACUGGGCGUAAAGGGCUCGUAGGCGGCCAACUAAGUCAUACGUGAAAUCCCUCAGCUUAACUGGGGAACUGCGUGUGAUACUGGAUGGCUUGGAUUUGGGAGAGGGAUGCGGAAUUCCAGGUGUAGCGGUGAAAUGCGUAGAUAUCUGGAGGAACACCGGUGGCGAAGGCGGCAUCCUGGACCGAGAUUGACGCUGAUGCGCGAAAGCCAGGGGAGCAAACGGG
RNAcentral lists this ribosomal RNA (253 nucleotides) under uncultured bacterium. RNAcentral's name for it is "partial 16S ribosomal RNA". It matches the Rfam family "Bacterial small subunit ribosomal RNA", at positions 524 to 776 of the family's 1533-position model. The record is from RNAcentral.